Long non-coding RNA from Harpegnathos saltator (Jerdon's jumping ant), 685 nucleotides. RefSeq lists it as uncharacterized. The transcript is spliced from 4 exons. The record is from RefSeq and is a predicted model, not a curated record. Lineage: Eukaryota; Metazoa; Arthropoda; Insecta; Hymenoptera; Formicidae.
ACGGCCGGCGAGCGCUCGGUCGUCCUCGGCUUCGUUCGUCCUGCGGUCGGACCGGCUUCAAACCAGCCGCGCCGUCGAGCCGUCGAGCCGUCGUCCAGCCGUUUCGCCGCGCCCCGCGGCCGACUUCAAGGCAGUGAAGAUCGCUCGCUCUCUCUCUCUCUCUCCUCCCCUCUUCAUCCAUCGCGACGCGUUGCCUCGUCAUAUUGUAGUUAGGCGGCUCGUGUAUAAAGGCGUUACGCGGAACUUUCAGCGCGCGGGCCGACUCGAAAGUCUCGUUCGAGUCCGUCGUUCAACGAAUCCCCCGCCGAUGAUCCGUGUUACCCCCGUCGGAAUCGUCCAAGCAUCUCGAGUCGAACGGCGCGUAGCUUCGGUAAGAGUAAUAGUCGCGGGUCGCAUUUGGAGAUGUUCGGAAUAUCACGCCUGCAAUUUACAACGCUUGGACUUUGUAUUCGAUCCAUGUUAAACGGACACUUUCGCUCAGCGCGAUUCUCACUUUCUCCGAUGAUCUCGAGAUGUGAUCGGUAGCGACAAGAUUAGGCAGACGAUAAGAUUACAAGAACGAUUCGUCUGGACGAUGUCAAUUGCUGCUCCAUUGCUCUUCCCACAAUAUAGCACAUUGUAUGUCACAAGGUUCACUUCUAAAAAAGAUCCAGAGCGCCAAUAGAUCCGUCCACAGCAUAAAUUG